This 175-nucleotide small RNA is filed under the name Chrysemys picta bellii (western painted turtle). Its description in RNAcentral is "TUC338 (ENSCPBG00000017834.1)". The record is from RNAcentral. Lineage: Eukaryota; Metazoa; Chordata; Testudines; Emydidae.
UGGACUGCUCUGGAGACUGAAGUCCUCUGUCUAUCCACAGAGCAUGGUUGCAAUGCAGGCAUCAGCAGGACAAUCUUCCCUCUCCACAUCUGUCCUCUGCCAAUGUGCUUCCCUCUUUCCUGGAGGGACGGUUUCCAAGUAUCCCGCUCCACUGCUUGUUCAGACUAUGGCUUCU